AUGCUCUAUACUACUCUUUACCUUUGCCAGGGUUAGGUGCUCCAGGCCAAGUGCAGCCUCUUCCUCAGAUGCCGUAUAGCCCAAAAUAUAGUUUGUUCUCCUCGUGGUUCUACUCCAUGUUAUCUCCAAUGUUACAUGAAGAUGACCCAGUGGUGUGAAUAUAAAAAGAUAGGUUGUAUCAGAUACAGAGUCCUUGAUGUAGCAUCACGGCAAGAAGUCGCAGGGUGGAUUAUCUAGUGAUCGUAGAGACCAGCAAAACAUUGUAGAUGUGAGCAGCCUGGCAGAGAGCAGUGACCCAGCUGAUGCUUUUGUAGCAUUGGGACCAACAAGCAGCAAAUCUCCUUCUGCGGUGACCAAGCCGAGUGGUAAUACUUGAUGUGACAAGUGACUUGCUAACUGAGGCUUGAAGAAAGCGCAAGAGUGAACCAAUAAAGCAGAUUGCAUUUUAGGAUUCCCCUUUCUGAGGAAGGAUUACUCUGAAAAUAGUUUUUACUGUGUUUA
Long non-coding RNA from Hyla sarda, 501 nucleotides. RefSeq lists it as uncharacterized. The transcript is spliced from 4 exons. The record is from RefSeq and is a predicted model, not a curated record. Lineage: Eukaryota; Metazoa; Chordata; Amphibia; Anura; Hylidae.